Molecule: long non-coding RNA, 731 nt
Filed under: Pelobates cultripes (western spadefoot toad)
Lineage: Eukaryota; Metazoa; Chordata; Amphibia; Anura; Pelobatidae
Source: RNAcentral
CCUGCAGCUACUUCAUCUCUAGCUUUAAAUUCAUUAGGUACCCCCCUAGGUACCCCAAUGGCAUCUAUGUAAAUGUGGGGGUCAAAACUGCCUUUUACUGGGGUUUCGCGCCUCACUCUGGCUGGUGUAUGUGGAGGGUCGUAUGUGUCAUGAUGAUUAUCAGAAAUAAUAUGAAUGGGCAUGAUAACUUUGGCUAGGGUACACUCACCCCACCACUCAGUUUCCAGCCUAGAUCUUAACUGUAGAUCCCCACAUAACCAGUAAAUAUCCCCCAAUGACCUGGUAUGGUGUUGCAACAGGCGUAUAGGAACAGUUCUGUAAGUGGCGCAAUAACCUUUAGAAAAAUUACCCAUGAAUUUACCAAUCCCGUCAUACAUGGCAUAACAAGUGUAAUUACCUCUAUAGACUGUGAUUCCAUCAGGUGGCUUAAUAUUUUCAACUAAGAGAGGGUACUCUGCCGUCCAUGCCAUGCAGAGGGACCUAUUAAAGUCAUAGUGGUAGGCAAAAAGGCUUAAGAAGCAAUCUUCUAUCUCUAAAGGGAGAAUUAGGGGGACGGUGCCAAGGUGGGGUCGGGCACCGCCACAUACAUAACAUGCUGUUUUAUUAUGUUUGUUGGCAUUAUACCUCAUCCAUUCUAACCACAAAUUAAUGUCAUUGAAUCCAGUUUCAGCGGCCAUGGUAUCUUCAAAAGUGGGGUUAGCGAUGGCCAUCAUAUCUUUAAAGGACUGGAU